Molecule: long non-coding RNA, 221 nt
Organism: Jaculus jaculus (lesser Egyptian jerboa)
Lineage: Eukaryota; Metazoa; Chordata; Mammalia; Rodentia; Dipodidae
Exons: 3
Source: RefSeq, a predicted model, not a curated record
AGAAAAGUCUACACAGCCGGGGGCCCUGCUCAGAAAGGCACUGCCUUUGUUUCAGAUGGGGAAGAAAGAAGAGGAAGAAGAGGAGGGGAGGAGAUGACACUAUAUGACAUCUUCAUUUUGAAGAAAAUUAAUGCUUGUCAGCCCAGUUUUGGUGCUUGGGACAAAGCAUUCUUUCGGGAAGAGUGGCGUGAUUCAACCAUUGGAGUGGACAUUUGGGAAAC